AUUCAAUAAAAUUCCCCCUGCCUUUAAAAUUUCCCGUCAAAUUCAUUUCCCCCCAUUUUGAAAGUGCAAACAGUUUCUCUCCUAAUGACAUCAGUUCAUUAGGUUUUCUGUUUUGCCCACCUCCGCCGUAAUCUCCAUAGAAACUACCAUAUCCUGUGCCGAAUUUCCCUCCACCCUAAAAUUUGCAGCGACGUCUCAUUUUCUUUCUGAAAUGUGCUCUUAUAUAUGCCAAUAUUUGCUUAAGUGAAAUUCAACGAGGAAAAAGAAAAUUUCAAUAGUAUCAAAGUUCAAAUACAUAUUUCAUUCGGGUUAUACAUGUGGACACUGGAGUGAACGAAGGAUUCUUCAUGUUCUCAAAUAAGAUCAACGUAGAGCAAAAAUGAGGAAGGUAAAGAAAAAGGAUAGAGGUACUUCAGAGGAAAGUUCUGGUGGAUAAUUAAAAAUGGUGCCAAAAGACUAUUUGAUCUAUUGGAAUUUAACGAUGACAAUUACGAUUUUUGUAAUUCCUGAUACUACAAUUGAUUUUGUAAAGUUACAAGCAUGAACCUUGAACUAAUUUUCUUCAUUGUAUUACACAAGAUUUAAUUUUUUUUUUUGGAAUUUCAUUGCAAGUAUAUGCA
Nicotiana attenuata is the source of this 620-nucleotide long non-coding RNA. RefSeq lists it as uncharacterized. Lineage: Eukaryota; Viridiplantae; Streptophyta; Magnoliopsida; Solanales; Solanaceae. The transcript has 3 exons. The record is from RefSeq and is a predicted model, not a curated record.